GUUUGCACUUGUCGGGGAAGGGUGAGAACCUUCGAUUAAGGUUCGACUCGAGCGAAAGCGAGAGAACGUUGCCAACGGCAACGGCCCGUAGGGUGAGGAGCGAA
Molecule: small RNA, 104 nt
Filed under: Salmonella enterica subsp. enterica serovar Berta
Lineage: Bacteria; Pseudomonadati; Pseudomonadota; Gammaproteobacteria; Enterobacterales; Enterobacteriaceae
Also listed under: 4 other names
Description: partial RtT sRNA
Rfam family: RtT RNA
About the family: This family represents a bacterial cis-regulatory element known as RtT RNA. The exact function of RtT is unknown although it is thought that it may be involved in changing the cellular response in relation to amino acid starvation.
Source: RNAcentral